AUUGAACGCUGGCGGCAGGCCUAACACAUGCAAGUCGAGCGGACGAAGAGGGCUUGCUCCUGGAUGCAGCGGCGGACGGGUGAGUAAUGCCUAGGAACCUGCCUGGUAGUGGGGGCUAACGUCCGGAAACGGGCACUAAUACCGCAUAAGUCCUUAGGGCGAAAGGGUGGGAUCUGGGGACCUUAGGCUAUCAGUGGAGUCAAGGUCGGAUUAGCUAGUUGGUGGGGUAAAGGGCUACCAGGGCGACGAUCCGUAACUGGUCUGAGAGGAUGAGCCGUCACACUGGAACUGAGACACGGUCCAGACUCCUACGGGAGGCCGCAGUGGGGAAUCUUGGACAAUGGGCGAGAGCCUGAUCCAGCCCUACCGCGUGUGUGCAGAAGGUCUUCGGCUUGUAAAGCACUUUAGGUUGGGAGGAAGGGCAGCAAGUUAAUACCUUGCUGUUUUGACGUUACCAACAGAAUAAGCACCGGCUAACUUCGUG
This 484-nucleotide ribosomal RNA is filed under the name uncultured bacterium. Its description in RNAcentral is "partial 16S ribosomal RNA". It matches the Rfam family "Bacterial small subunit ribosomal RNA", at positions 30 to 507 of the family's 1533-position model. The record is from RNAcentral.